Molecule: transfer RNA, 85 nt
Organism: Felis catus (domestic cat)
Lineage: Eukaryota; Metazoa; Chordata; Mammalia; Carnivora; Felidae
Rfam family: tRNA
About the family: Transfer RNA (tRNA) molecules are approximately 80 nucleotides in length. Their secondary structure includes four short double-helical elements and three loops (D, anti-codon, and T loops). Further hydrogen bonds mediate the characteristic L-shaped molecular structure. tRNAs have two regions of fundamental functional importance: the anti-codon, which is responsible for specific mRNA codon recognition, and the 3' end, to which the tRNAs corresponding amino acid is attached (by aminoacyl-tRNA synthetases). tRNAs cope with the degeneracy of the genetic code in two manners: having more than one tRNA (with a specific anti-codon) for a particular amino acid; and 'wobble' base-pairing, i.e. permitting non-standard base-pairing at the 3rd anti-codon position.
Source: Rfam
GCCUGGGUGGCUCAGUCGGUUAAGCGUCCGACUUCAGCUCAGGUCAUGAUCUCAUGGUUCGUGGGUUUGAGCCCCACAUCGGGCU